This is a non-coding RNA of Paramuricea clavata, 477 nucleotides long. The record is from the annotation of a GenBank genome assembly. NCBI's taxonomy places the organism in Eukaryota, Metazoa, Cnidaria, Anthozoa, Malacalcyonacea, Plexauridae.
GGGAAAUCCCAAGAAGGCGACUUAUGGGAAAACCCCUGUCAUUUCCACAAUUGCCCUUCUAGGGACUGAAAUGACAUCAUUCCAAAAAUACUUUCAAAAUAUAAACACAGCCGAACGAAACAUUAAUAAUUUGCAAUUAGGCCUGAUCCAAGUAGGUUUUAUCCGACUGCAAAAUGCUAAGAAGUUGUAGGCUUAAAGCUAAAUUAAAUCAUGCUGUAGAUCUGUGUAUACGUGGAUGACUCCAGCUGGAAAUUUGUGCUUAUGGAAGACAUCCAAGGCCAUAUCGAGGAACAUGGCGUUUCAGAAAUUGAGGAGCUUUUUAAAACGAAACUGGGGCCCUGGGAAGACUCCAAAAUAAAUAUCGGUAUCAUAGGCAAUUCUGGUGUUGGAAAGUCAAGCUUCAUAAACGCUAUAAGAGGGUAAGAGAUUUGUAAACUUAAAUUGUUACUGACGUAGGGUAUUUUAAUUAAUAAUGCA